Molecule: long non-coding RNA, 216 nt
Organism: Argiope bruennichi
Lineage: Eukaryota; Metazoa; Arthropoda; Arachnida; Araneae; Araneidae
Exons: 4
Source: RefSeq, a predicted model, not a curated record
AGGAGAUAUGAAAGAUCUUGUAGACUUAAUCAUGAAACUUCUUGCAAAAUUGUUUAAAUACUUAAACAUGUGAAUGAGUCGUCUGCAUCUAUUUUUUAACUAAACAGAUGGAGUUAAGAAGUCGACAGACACCCUGUAUUCCAAAUUUACUGCUUCUUGAAUGAGAUUGUACCAUUUAAUUUUUAAAAACAAUAAAUAUUGAAAUUUAUUGGUGUA